UACGUAGGGUGCAAGCGUUAAUCGGAAUUACUGGGCGUAAAGCGUGCGCAGGCGGUGAUGUAAGACAGUUGUGAAAUCCCCGGGCUCAGCCUGGGAACUGCAUCUGUGACUGCAUCGCUGGAGUGCGGCAGAGGGGGAUGGAAUUCCGCGUGUAGCAGUGAAAUGCGUAGAUAUGCGGAGGAACACCGAUGGCGAAGGCAAUCCCCUGGGCCUGCACUGACGCUCGUGCACGAAAGCGUGGGGAGCAAACAGG
This 253-nucleotide ribosomal RNA is filed under the name uncultured bacterium. RNAcentral describes it as "partial 16S ribosomal RNA". It matches the Rfam family "Bacterial small subunit ribosomal RNA", at positions 524 to 776 of the family's 1533-position model. The record is from RNAcentral.